CGAAUGCUGACAUAAGUAACGAUAAAGCGGGUGAAAAGCCCGCUCGCCGGAAGACCAAGGGUUCCUGUCCAACGUUAAUCGGGGCAGGGUGAGUCGACCCCUAAGGCGAGGCCGAAAGGCGUAGUCGAUGGGAAACAGGUUAAUAUUCCUGUACUUGGUGUUACUGCGAAGGGGGGACGGAGAAGGCUAUGUUGGCCGGGCGACGGUUGUCCCGGUUUAAGCGUGUAGGCUGGUUUUCCAGGCAAAUCCGGAAAAUCAAGGCUGAGGCGUGAUGACGAGGCACUACGGUGCUGAAGCAACAAAUGCCCUGCUUCCAGGAAAAGCCUCUAAGC
This 332-nucleotide ribosomal RNA is filed under the name Escherichia coli. RNAcentral describes it as "partial 23S ribosomal RNA". It matches the Rfam family "Bacterial large subunit ribosomal RNA", at positions 1291 to 1629 of the family's 2925-position model. The record is from RNAcentral. Lineage: Bacteria; Pseudomonadati; Pseudomonadota; Gammaproteobacteria; Enterobacterales; Enterobacteriaceae.